AAUAAACGAAUUUAUGAGUUUUUAUAAAAUUUUUAACUCUUCAUCUUAUUUGAAAUUUUUAUGAUUAAUAUUUUUAUUGCUACUAUAUGAGAAAACAUGAAUAGUAUUUUACGUGUGAAUAAUUUUUUAAAAUUUUUUAAUAAUUUUUUUAAAUAAAACGGAUGGUCAAACACUCGACCUAUAAAACUCAGA
This 192-nucleotide microRNA precursor is filed under the name Oryza brachyantha (malo sina). RNAcentral's name for it is "MIR812 microRNA precursor family". It matches the Rfam family "MIR812 microRNA precursor family". The record is from Rfam by way of RNAcentral. Lineage: Eukaryota; Viridiplantae; Streptophyta; Magnoliopsida; Poales; Poaceae.